RNAcentral lists this ribosomal RNA (347 nucleotides) under uncultured bacterium. RNAcentral describes it as "bacterial SSU rRNA". It matches the Rfam family "Bacterial small subunit ribosomal RNA", at positions 917 to 1264 of the family's 1533-position model. The record is from RNAcentral.
GGGCCCGCACAAACGGUGGAGCAUGUGGUUUAAUUCGAUGCAACGCGAAGAACCUUACCUACUCUUGACAUCCAGAGAAGCCAGCGGAGACGCAGGUGUGCCUUCGGGAGCUCUGAGACAGGUGCUGCAUGGCUGUCGUCAGCUCGUGUUGUGAAAUGUUGGUUAAGUCCCGCAACGAGCGCAACCCUUAUCCUUGUUUGCCAGCGAGUAAUGUCGGGAACUCCAGGGAGACUGCCGGUGAUAAACCGGAGGAAGGUGGGGACGACGUCAAGUCAUCAUGGCCCUUACGAGUAGGGCUACACACGUGCUACAAUGGCGCAUACAGAGGGCGGCGAACUUGCGAGAGU